CUGCAUGGCUGUCGUCAGCUCGUGUCGUGAGAUGUUGGGUUAAGUCCCGCAACGAGCGCAACCCUUGCCAUUAGUUGCUACAUUCAGUUGGGCACUCUAAUGGGACUGCCGGUGACAAACCGGAGGAAGGUGGGGAUGACGUCAAGUCCUCAUGGCCCUUAUAGGUGGGGCUACACACGUCAUACAAUGGCUGGUACAGAGGGUUGCCAACCCGCGAGGGGGAGCUAAUCCCAUAAAGCCAGUCGCAGUCCGGAUCGCAGUCUGCAACUCGACUGCGUGAAGUCGGAAUCGCUAGUAAUCGCGGAUCAGAAUGUCGCGGUAAAUACGUUCCCGGGUCUUGUACACACCGCCCGUCACACCAUGGGAGCGGGUCUCGCCAGAAGUAGGUAGCCUAACCGCAAGG
This 403-nucleotide ribosomal RNA is filed under the name uncultured beta proteobacterium. RNAcentral describes it as "bacterial SSU rRNA". It matches the Rfam family "Bacterial small subunit ribosomal RNA", at positions 1041 to 1446 of the family's 1533-position model. The record is from RNAcentral. Lineage: Bacteria; Pseudomonadati; Pseudomonadota; Betaproteobacteria.